RNAcentral lists this transfer RNA (76 nucleotides) under Tenacibaculum sp. SZ-18. RNAcentral's name for it is "tRNA-Pro". It matches the Rfam family "tRNA". Rfam says of the family: Transfer RNA (tRNA) molecules are approximately 80 nucleotides in length. The record is from RNAcentral. RNAcentral also lists the same sequence under 1 other name. Lineage: Bacteria; Pseudomonadati; Bacteroidota; Flavobacteriia; Flavobacteriales; Flavobacteriaceae.
CUGGGAAGAUAACGAUUGGUUGUUUACCUGCUUUGGAUGCAGGAGGUUGUAGGUUCGAGUCCUGCUUCCCAGACAA